UAAUUGAGACAGUGGUGCUUACCAGGGCAUAGAGGAAGACUGAAUGGGGAGUUUAAUGAGUAUGAGUUUGGAAUGUUGAGAAAACUCAAGAUGGAUGAUGGUUGUAUAACAAACUACUUAAAAGUGGUUAAAAAAAAUAAAUGUAUCAAAAAAAUAAAUGGCCUAUAAUUCUGCCAUUCAGGUAACCCUAUUAACACGUGUUUGUAAUGUAUUAUGUGUUACAUAAAUGUACACUUGGUUAAAAGUUCAGAGAGAAAGGUAUAAAAUUAAAAAUACAUCUACUUCCCAGUCUCUACUGAAUCCCAGUGUCUCCACAAAAUAAUUUUUCAAUACUACAUUUAGAAAAAUAGUUCUGAGCUUUUACCUAAUGAUACAUAUAUGGAAGUUAAACUGGUCAUGCUGUAAACAUAGAAAUUGCUGCCAGCAUUAUCACUCUGCUCUUCCUUGUCUUAACAGUUCCAAGAAUCCCAUUGUGUUCCUGAACUACUUCUGUAACCCUUCUCUGACAGGCAUAAUGAACCCCUCCAUAUAUAACAUCCAAGCAUUACUUAAAUGGAACUGCUCCCCCUCCCUCUUGGAACCACUGACUCCUCACUUCCUGUCCCUGUGGCUGAUGCCUUUGAACUUGUAACUGAUCUGUUCCGGUCCACAAAGGUGAGAAGCUUGCACUGAGUGAAUCCGCCACCUGGCUGUUUAGCUUUCUGUGCUCUGGACUUUAUCAUCAGGGAAGCUAGUGCACAUGCCUUAGCAUAAGGAGUUUGAUAUGGCUAUGGACUUACCUGGUGGUUCAGUGGUUAAGGCUGUGCUUCCAAUGCAGGGGACACAGGUUUGAUCCCUGGUUGGGAAACUAAGACCCUGCAUGCUGGGCAGCGUGGUCAAUAAAAAUAGACUGACAUGGUUUUUGUUUUGUGUAUCUUAAACUUAAUAUAAACUGUACUUGAUAUUAGCUCUUGAUGCCUGGUUUAUUCAGUUUCAUUGAUGCAGUGAUCUCAACAUAUCUCAAGUAUACUUACUCAUUUUCCUAUUGUUGGUCAUUUAGGUCAUUUCCAGUGCUUUUAGAAACAUCCUAGUAUGGCUCUUCCAGCACUUGUGAGGAAUUCUCUAAGGUAAGGACCUGCCAGGUUAUAUGUUAACAGCAUCUGUAAAUUUACCAAAUUGCUCUACAAUAUAAGGAUGGCCCAGUCUCCCCAUCCUUGGUAUUAGAAGACCCAUCUGUGAAUUUAUAUAAAUUCUUUUGUUUAUAUCACUUGGCCAUUUUUCUUUGGGGGUAUAACUUAGUUUUUCAAAUCUUUUGAUUCAUUUGAGCAUAAGGGAGACAUGGUCCUUUUUCCCCCAGAAUAAGCAGACAAAAUGGAUAGGCCAGCUUUCACAUACUAAGCUAAAGAUGCCACCUUUCUCAGAUAAUGCAUUUAAUGAUUAUAGGUUUAUUGCUGAGGUUUGGUACUGCUUCCAUGUUAUUCUUACAUUUUUAAAUCAUUUUUAUUAGAAUCAGUCUAGUAUCAAAAUGCAUGACUUGUGUACAUUCAUACAUUCCUAAACGUGAGGGGUUCUCAUUGAUCCAGGAUGACCACUGCUCCCUUUUGUUUGCCCCUAGGCAUUUAUUUCCCCUUCUUUUGUCUGACUGUGGUGACUCGCCAGACCAGCACUAAGUUGUGGAAUGGUAGAUGGUGAGUGUGAUUCUGGAAGCCAACACUUCUGGGACAUCAAAGUAGAUGUUAAGUCAAAUAUUCCCCCUCACCCCUCCAAAAGUCUUUUCCCCCCAUAUAUGUAGGGUUAAUUUCAGUUACUUAAAAAAUCAGUAUAGCUGAGUUACUUAGUUCUUUUCUGUAUCUAGUGGGAAUGUACAGAAUUUUAAUUUUGAUAUGAGUAUUACAAGCAUCUCUCCAUCACUAUAGUUCCCAAGCUGCUGACAGCUUUUAAAUCAUGUUAAUUAUCUCUGAAAACCCCACUGAUGACACACAUGCUUCCUCAUACUUGAGACAGUAGAACCAGGGCAGGAAUGUUUUAUAGCUCUCAUGUCACACAAGCAAACCUUCUACCCCUCUGCGCUCCUCCUGGCAGAGUGUCAACAGGAACUUCCUGUCCCUUUUGUCUGCCCAAGGGCACAACUGCUCAGGUGCCAGGGCCAGAGGCCCUCAGUGCACACCACCCACCUGCGCCUCCCGCAGAACAGUCCACACCACGCUGCAAACUUAUCGUAGAAUAGAUUUAUUUACCUGAAACCAUGUCUGUGCAAUGCUUGUUACCAGCACAGAAAUAAACUGAUCUCUAUUUACAGUCUAAAGUCAAACAUGCGUUGUGAUAAACUGACAUUUAGCAUUUUAUUGAUAUAAAUGCAUCACAAUAAUUCAUAUUGCACCAACAUCUGUCUACUGCUUCUGAUUUCAUUAAAUAAGUUACAUUUAAUACAGUGCAAAAUAGCUGUUUGCACACUCAGGAAAAUAACUGAAGUUAUGAACUGGAAGCCUACAUUUUUAACCAUUCAACACCUGUAGUGUUUUCAAUAAAUUUAUAAAUAAGCAAACUGUACAGGGCCAAUUAAAAAGUAGCAUGUUUCAAUGACACCAUAGAGAAAUCUGGCUACUUACAACUGAAGGCAUGCAUUACAAUUGAAUAUUGUACAUUUAUUUAAGCUAUGAUAUUUUGCACAGAGAAAUACGGAGACUUGGCUGAUGGCUUCUAAGUUCUUGGAUAAGGUUUCAGAACCUCAUUCUUCUUGCAGCAAAGAAACCAGACUUCUCUGGAGAGGCUUUCUGAUUCAUUAAGUUAAAUUGUACAUUUGUUACUAUUUUGAUUCAAAAGCUAAAACCCCACUGGUAAUACACAUUUCCUCCACAUAAUACACAACAAGUUGGGGACUUUUUUCUAAUUUUCUUUUCCCCCCAACAUCAAUCAUGCAGAGGGCUGGUAGAUGUGUUGCUAAAAAACGCACAUGCACGCAACCGAACACCCUUAAAUUUCUG
This 2963-nucleotide long non-coding RNA is filed under the name Cervus hanglu yarkandensis (Yarkand deer). RNAcentral's name for it is "lncRNA (ENSCHYG00000003634.1)". Lineage: Eukaryota; Metazoa; Chordata; Mammalia; Artiodactyla; Cervidae. The record is from RNAcentral.